UCUCUGGUGGUGCAGUGGCUAACACUCUGCCCUCCCAAUGCAGAGGGUCUGGGUUUGAACCCUGGUCGGGGAA
Molecule: transfer RNA, 73 nt
Filed under: Bos taurus (domestic cattle)
Lineage: Eukaryota; Metazoa; Chordata; Mammalia; Artiodactyla; Bovidae
Also listed under: 3 other names
Rfam family: tRNA
About the family: Transfer RNA (tRNA) molecules are approximately 80 nucleotides in length. Their secondary structure includes four short double-helical elements and three loops (D, anti-codon, and T loops). Further hydrogen bonds mediate the characteristic L-shaped molecular structure. tRNAs have two regions of fundamental functional importance: the anti-codon, which is responsible for specific mRNA codon recognition, and the 3' end, to which the tRNAs corresponding amino acid is attached (by aminoacyl-tRNA synthetases). tRNAs cope with the degeneracy of the genetic code in two manners: having more than one tRNA (with a specific anti-codon) for a particular amino acid; and 'wobble' base-pairing, i.e. permitting non-standard base-pairing at the 3rd anti-codon position.
Source: Rfam by way of RNAcentral